GAAGGUGGAUUUAUAAGUAAUUAGAUUUUAUUAUUAUUUGGUGAAUAGUGGAAUAACAUGUGUACAUAUUGCCCGUCGCUCUCGUUAUUAUUUGAGAUAAGUCGUAACAUAGUUGAUGUACUGGAAAGUGUAUCUUUUUGU
This 141-nucleotide ribosomal RNA is filed under the name Orophe unicus. RNAcentral's name for it is "partial small subunit ribosomal RNA". Lineage: Eukaryota; Metazoa; Arthropoda; Diplopoda; Polydesmida; Xystodesmidae. The record is from RNAcentral.